AAGACUGAAGUGGAGAAAGGUU
Molecule: unclassified non-coding RNA, 22 nt
Filed under: Chlamydomonas reinhardtii
Lineage: Eukaryota; Viridiplantae; Chlorophyta; Chlorophyceae; Chlamydomonadales; Chlamydomonadaceae
Description: small RNA Cre_0096
Source: RNAcentral